Molecule: long non-coding RNA, 3570 nt
Filed under: Selaginella moellendorffii
Lineage: Eukaryota; Viridiplantae; Streptophyta; Lycopodiopsida; Selaginellales; Selaginellaceae
Description: long non-coding RNA (SMOE_LNC001497)
Source: RNAcentral
UUUACAAGAAUGGUGCGGCGCUGGUAAUGGGCAUGGCAGCAGUGACUUUGCUCGAGGCGAUUCGAAUCGCGGACAAGGUUGGCACAAUAUCCACUUCCAGCAAGGUCUGUAGAAACCAACAUAGGAUCCUCAUCGCGGCGGUUGGCUAUGUCCGAGACUACCUCAAGCAAAUCCAGGAUCUCAACUUCGCGAGCAACGGGCCAGCCUUCGUGUGGGACGAAACCGUGGCUGUCCUUAACAGAGGCCUUCAUCUCCUCAAGUCGUGCCAAGAAGGCAAUUGGAUCGCGCGGAGCCUGCUGUUCAAGGAAAGCUGCGAUGAGUUCCAGAGCAUUUAUCCCGAGAUCUACAACUGCGUCGAGCUCGUCAGCGUCUAUCUCUUUCAGCUGGCACCGUCCACCUCGCACAGAUCCAGGAUUGCCGAGGCUUACAACUCGUGCCUCAUGAGGCAGAACUUGAGCAGCAUGCUGGAAGAAGCCGGAAGGAACGAUCGGAAGGAGCUCAUGACUCUCGCAAUGAGCCAAGAGCCGGGAAGCCUGACGACCGAGAGCAAACAAGCCAAAGAGAUACUCUGCUCCAUGCUCCUGGGAAACAAGUCAGUGAUUAACCACAAGGAACUCAAGCUGACAACACACCUGGGACAAGGAGGUUUCGGAACCGUGUACGAAGCAAUCUGGCUCGGUCACAAGUUUGCAGUGAAAGUCUUCCCUCAAGGUGACACCAGCUUCGCCAAAGAGCUCGCGGUUCUCGAAGCGGACAAGCAUCCCAACGUGUUGCACAUCGCCAGCCAGUCUUUCGAUGAAGAGAAGCAGCGGUACUCGCUGGUGAUGGAGAAGAUGGACAUGGACCUGGCAAACUACGUCCUCAAGAAGAAGAACUCUCUCCCGUUGCUGUCGAUCGUGGCAGUGAUGCUCCAAGUUGCUACUGGCAUGGCCUGGCUUCACUCGAAGAAUAUAAUCCACCGGGACCUCAAGCCGCAGAACAUCUUGGUUGGCGAAGAAGACAACGAUCUCGUGAGUAUCAGGAUUGCCGACUUUGGAGUCUCGAGGCCAAACUUCAUCUCCUCCCAGAUCGAAGCCGUUAGCAUCCAAGGCACCAGGAACUUCAUGGCACCGGAAGUGUGGAGCGGCGAGAACUACACGAAAAAGGCCGACGUUUACAGCUACGGGAUGCUGAUUUACCAGCUUGUCACUGGAAACGUUCCGUUCGAGGACGGGAUGGACAUGGAGCAAGUCCUUCGAGGCGAGCGUCCUGAGGUACCAGCAACCUGUCCAGAGUUCCUGUCGCAGCUCAUGCGGGAAUGCUGGAGCCACGAUGCAAAAGAGAGGCCUUCCUUCUCGGAUAUCUGCGAGCGGCUGAAGCAGCUCAAGACCAGGAUCAUCACUGGCACCGACUCCAUCGACGAGUUACGAGCCAUGUUGGUUGCAGCAGCCAGGUCAUCUUCCUCUUAUUCGUACUCAUCGUCUUCCUCGUCGCACAGCAUGAACCUGGAUUCUCCUGUCCAAGCACCUGAAGGGCUUUUGACCCAAAAUCCUCCAUCUCCCGUUGUCCAGGUAAACUCUUUUGCUUUUAGUAACUCCACCUUUAGUUUCAGCCGGUACCACACCGUCCUCAGCACGUCGCACCAGCAGCAAAGCCGGAUAACAGGGCCGAGCUCUUCGAACUGGUGAAGAACGGCCUCGUCGAAAACGCCUUUGAGAAAGCUCUGUCCCUGAACGAUCCUUCCACGGUCUGGUGGCUUUGCACCAAGGUAAGCCAUUCACGUCCUCCAGCUGCUCAUCAAAGCUUUGUCAGCUCAGGUGGAGGAUAGCGUCCUGCUCGCCUUCAGUGAAUCAAUGCUCAUGGAAGUGGCCGAGCAAAUCAACACCAACUUCGAGGAAGACACUGCUCGCAGGUUGCUCUGGAUCAACGAGAUCCUGUUCAUCUUGCUGUACGUCAACGUCAAUGGACAGACGUCACCUCGGAUGCAGAGGAUCUUGGAGGAGCUUUCACAGAACCUCCACGGCAUGAUGGCUAUAACACCGUCAAACAGCGAGCUGGCGAUGAAGCUGGCAGACGUGCUGAAAAGAACCAACGUGGGUCUUCGGGUUCGUAUGAAGCUCUUCGUGUUAUUCGUUUGAUUCAAAUCGUUUGUCGUCGCAGCGUAUCCGAUAUGGGAACAAACUUCAGAAGAAAGGGAAAAGGAAACUGUGAAAUAAAACAGCUAUAUAUUUCCAGCGGAACACCGGUAGUUUCUGAGUAUUGAGAUGUUCUAAUUUUCUGCCUGCCAAAAGUAUCAACCAUGCUUCACGAAAGAACCAUAAAGAACUUACCAAUUCCCAUUCGUAACUUCGUCUCAUCCUGCCGGGGAAAAUGUGAAGGAAACUUACGAGAUAAAUAUCAAAGCACAAAGGUUUCACCAUUCUUUAGUUCUUAAACUGGAAGGAGCUCAUGGCUCUCGCAAUGAACCGAGAGCCGGGAAGCCUGACGACCGAGACAGAACGAGCCAAAGAGAUACUCUGCUCCAUCCUCCUGGGAAACAAGUCAGUGAUCAACCACAAGGAACUCAAGCUGAGAACACACCUGGGACAAGGAGCUUACGGAACCGUGUACGAAGCAAUGUGGCUCGGUCACAAGUUCACGGUGAAAGUCUUCCCUCAAGGUGACACCAGCUUUGCCAAAGAGCUCGCGGUUCUCGGAGCUCACAAGCAUCCCAACGUGUUGCACAUUGCCGGCCAUUCUUUCGAUGGAGAGAAGCAGCAGUACUCGCUGGUGAUGGAGAAGAUGGACAUGGACCUGGCAAACUACCUCCUCAAGAAGAACUCCCUCUCGUUGCUGUCGAUCGUGGCAGUGAUGCUCCAAGUCACUACUAAUGAAUGGGAAUCAAAAUUGUGACCAUCGUCUCCCGCUACUGUCAUCAAGGGCCUAAAACAUACACCAAUUUUCUUGUCUGAUUAAAGUAUGAUUCCCAAACCAAAAAAAAAUGCCUUAGGACUUAGAAUUAUUCAACAAGAAAAGUCCAGACAAAAAAAAAAUGCCUUAGGACUUAGAAUUAUUCAAAAAGAAAAGUCCACGGUAGACUUUUCCCACGCUAUACCUUUACAAGAAUGGUGCGGUGCUGGUAGUGAUCACCAACGGGCAUGGCAGCAGCGACUUUGCUCGAGGCAAUUCGAAUCGUGGACAAGCUUGGCACAAUAUCCACUUCCAGCAAGGUCUGUAGAAACCAACAUAGGAUCCUCAUCGCGGCGGUCGGCUAUGUCCGAGACUACCUCAAGCAAAUCCAGGAUCUCAACUUCGCGAGCAACGGGCCAGCCUUCGUGUGGGACGAAACCGUGGCUGUCCUUAACAGAGGCCUCCAUCUCCUCAAGUCGUGCCAAGAAGGCAAUUGGAUCACGCGGAGCCUCCUGUUCGAGGAAAGCUGCAAUGAGUUUCAGAGCAUUUAUCCCGAGAUCUACAACUGCGUCGAGCUCGUCAGCGUCUAUCUCUUUCAGCUGGCACCGUCCACCUCGCACAGAUCCAGGAUUGCCGAGGCUUACAACUCGUGCCUCAUGAGGCAGAACUCGAGCAGCAUGCUGGAAGAAGCCGAAAGGAACG